This 258-nucleotide ribosomal RNA is filed under the name uncultured bacterium. RNAcentral's name for it is "partial 16S ribosomal RNA". It matches the Rfam family "Bacterial small subunit ribosomal RNA", at positions 103 to 354 of the family's 1533-position model. The record is from RNAcentral.
CGGGUGAGUAACACGUAUGGCAACCUGCCUGCCACAGCCGGAUAAUCGGGAGAAAGUUCCGUCUAAUACGGCAUAAUGCAUCGACGGGACAUCCUGUUGGUGCCAAAGGUUGAUUCCGGUGGCGGAUGGGCAUGCGUCGCAUUAGUUAGUUGGCGGUGUAACGGACCGACCAAGACGACGAUGCGUAGGGGUUCUGGAGAGGAAGGUCCCCCACACCUGGUACUGAGACACGGACCAGACUCCUACGGAAGGCAGCAG